UACAGAGACCUCAAGCGUUAUCCGGAGUUAUUGGGCGUAAAGCGUCUGUAGGCGGCUUUACAAGUCGUGCGUUAAAUUUCUGGGCUCAACCCAGAAACUGCGUGCGAUACUGUACAAGCUAGAGGCUGGGAGAGGUGCAUGGAAUUACGGGUGUAGCGGUAAAAUGCGUUAAUAUCCGUAAGAACACCAAAGGCGAAGGCAGUGCACUGGAACAGUCCUGACGCUCAGAGACGAAAGCGUGGGGAGCGAAUGAG
RNAcentral lists this ribosomal RNA (254 nucleotides) under uncultured bacterium. RNAcentral's name for it is "partial 16S ribosomal RNA". It matches the Rfam family "Bacterial small subunit ribosomal RNA", at positions 524 to 776 of the family's 1533-position model. The record is from RNAcentral.